Molecule: unclassified non-coding RNA, 391 nt
Filed under: soil metagenome
Description: partial contains 5.8S ribosomal RNA, internal transcribed spacer 2, and large subunit ribosomal RNA
Rfam family: 5.8S ribosomal RNA (bases 1-122)
Source: RNAcentral
GAUGAAGAACGUAGCGAAAUGCGAUAAGUAAUGUGAAUUGCAGAAUUCAGUGAAUCAUCGAAUCUUUGAACGCACAUUGCGCCCGAAGCCAUUAGGCCGAGGGCACGCCUGCCUGGGCGUCACACGUCGUUGCCCCCCCAUCUACUCCUUCGGGAUUGCGGGGGGCGGAUGAUGGCCUCCCGUGCGCCUCGUCGCGCGGUUGGCAUAAAUGCCAAGUCCUCGGCGACGCACGCCACGACAAUCGGUGGUUGCGAAACCUCGGUUGCCCGUCGUGUGCGGUCGUCGCGCAUCGAGGGCUCGAAAAAAUUGCCGGGCUCCGGCUCGGCUUUCAACGCGACCCCAGGUCAGGCGGGGUUACCCGCUGAAUUUAAGCAUAUCAAUAAGCGGAGGA